This 497-nucleotide ribosomal RNA is filed under the name uncultured bacterium. RNAcentral's name for it is "partial 16S ribosomal RNA". It matches the Rfam family "Bacterial small subunit ribosomal RNA", at positions 28 to 507 of the family's 1533-position model. The record is from RNAcentral.
GAUGAACGCUGGCGGCGUGCCUAAUACAUGCAAGUCGAGCGAACAGACGAGGAGCUUGCUCCUCUGACGUUAGCGGCGGACGGGUGAGUAACACGUGGAUAACCUACCUAUAAGACUGGGAUAACUUCGGGAAACCGGAGCUAAUACCGGAUAAUAUAUUGAACCGCAUGGUUCAAUAGUGAAAGACGGUUUUGCUGUCACUUAUAGAUGGAUCCGCGCCGCAUUAGCUUGUUGGUAAGGUAACGGCUUACCAAGGCGACGAUGCGUAGCCGACCUGAGAGGGUGGUCGGCCACACUGGAGCUGAGACACGGUCCAGACUCCUACGAGGGGCAGCAGUAGGGAAUCUUCCGCAAUGGGCGGAGGCCUGACGGAGCAACGCCGCGUGAGUGAUGAAGGUCUUCGGAUCGUAAAACUCUGUUAUUAGGAAAGAACAAAUGUGUAAGUAACUAUGCACGUCUUGACGGUACCUAAUCAGAAAGCCACGGCUAACUACGUG